RNAcentral lists this long non-coding RNA (2074 nucleotides) under Homo sapiens (human). RNAcentral's name for it is "HSALNT0040426". The record is from RNAcentral. Lineage: Eukaryota; Metazoa; Chordata; Mammalia; Primates; Hominidae.
GGCAGACUCCAGAUUUUGGCUAAUACAAAUAAAAUUCCUGUGAACAUUCGUGUACAGGUUUUUGUGUGAACAAAUGUUCUCAUUUGUCUGGAAUAAAUACCCAGGAAUGCAAACGAUGGUACAUACAGUAAUUGCAUACUUAGUUUUAUAAGAAACUGCCUCUUUUCCAGAAUGGCUGUGCCAUUUCACAUCUAUACCAGCAAUAUAUGAACAAUCUAGUUUCUCUGCAUCCUUGUCAGCAUGUGGUAUCAUCACUAUUUAUUAUUUUAGCCAUUCUGGCACUGGACAUAUAACGCUGAACAAGAUAAUUAUGGGACUUGAACUCUAGAAUUGCAAAUGCUGAUCAACACUAUGAAGGGACUGCAGCAUUGAGAUGACAAGGGGGAGGUAACAAGUCUUAAGAAGAAACUGAAGAACGUGGGCCAAAUACAGGACAGUGUCAAUGCAGAAAAGGGACAAGAUAUAAGAAAUUUAAAAAGGUCAAGAAGAAGAUAACCAGCACCUCAGAAGCUCUCUUCAUACACCCCUCAACCACUACUCACUGGAUUUGUUUGGCCUAUUUUCAAACAUUGUAUCUAUAAAAUCAUAUAGUAUGCAUUACUUCGUUUUGCUUUUCCAUUCCACAUUAUGUUUGUGAGAUAUAUCAAUGUGACCGUAGGUGGUAGUAGUUUGACCUAUUUCAUUGUUAUAUAGUAUUUCAUCUUAUGCCUAUACCAUGAUUUAUCUAUUCUUCUCUUGAUUAACAUGUAACUUGUUUUCAGUUUGGGAACAGUAUAAAGUUAUGUUGCUAUAAAACAUUUUUACAUGGCUUCUGGCACUACUAAGUACUAUUCAUUGUUGACUCUAUAACAUGGAGUAUUCAUUGCUGGGCCACAGGGUGUGUGUAUGUUUAACUUUAGUUACUACUGUCAAUUCCUUUUCAAAAGUGGUUGUACAGGUACCAAAUUUGUUCUCACACCAGCCAUUUAUGCAGAAUCCAGUGACUCCAUAUCUUUGCCAACACUUGGUAUCUCAUUAUGGUUUUAAUUUUCCUGUUCCUAAUCACUAAUGAAAUUAAGUUUUUUUUUUUUAAGUACCAACACUACUUUAACAGAAUUGACUUUCUGAUAUCAUUGAUUUAUCUUUAUCUAGAACUGCUCUUCAUGGUAGGCAACUCACUAGUUGAUGCCCUUAAAACUUUUCCUUAGAGAGUACAGAUUUUUAAUCUAAAAAUUAGCAAGUGUGUUAUAUGGACAUUUUCUUUGUGUAACAACAACACAGGUAAAAAUAAACAACUUUCUAAAUAUUAAUACCACUUUUAAAAGCUAUUCUGAAAUUCUUUAUCCUUACAAGUAUUUGGUGAAAAGGUGAGGUAAUUUUAUUGGCAUAAAUGUAUAUCUCAUAAUUAUCAACAAACAAAAUGAAUUCCAACUGUAAUACUCAGACACGUUUUGCAUGAAAAGUAACCUGGAAUGGCAAAUGCAAUAGUAUCUCCUUAUUUUUUAGGCCAUUAAAAAUCAUUGCUGGCUGGGCGCAGUGGCUCAUGCCUGUAAUCCAGCACUUUGGGAGGCCGAGGCAGGUGGAUCACCUGAGGUCGGGAGUUCAAGACCAGCCUGGCCAACAUGGUGAAACCCCGUCUCUACUAAAAAUACAAAAAUUAGCCAGGCUUGGUGGUGCAUGCCUGUAGUCCCAGGUACUCGGGAGGCUGAGGCAGGAGAAUCACUUGAACCCAGGAGGCAGAGGUUGCAGUGAGCUGAGAUGGAGCCAUUACACUCCAGCCUGGGUGACAGAGCGAAACUCUGUCUCAAAAAAAAAAAAGAAAAAAUAAUUGCCACUUCCACCCACAUCAUCAAUGAAGAAGGGCAGCAACAAAUUCGGCUACAUAAAGAUGACAAAUAUACAAAGGACAGCCUGUGAGAAGGGACAGGUUUAGAUUUUUGGCUUCAUGCUCAGGUUUCAUAUUUUCCAAUUUGAAUUUCUACUGAUUUUGAUAUCCUUUUUAUGUUCUGAUUAGGCAGAUUAAAUAUGUCUAUAAAGAAUUUUCCAGAUACAUGAUAUUACAUAAGAUCAUAAUAAAAUUAUUUGAAGACACCGG